Molecule: non-coding RNA, 115 nt
Organism: Triticum aestivum (bread wheat)
Lineage: Eukaryota; Viridiplantae; Streptophyta; Magnoliopsida; Poales; Poaceae
Source: Rfam
CAAGUACUCCCUCCGUCCAGAAUUACUUGUCAUCAAAAUGGAUGUGUCUAGAACUAAAAUACAUCUAGAUACAUCCAUUUCAAUGACAAGUAUUUUCGGACGGAGGGAGUACAGG